Molecule: ribosomal RNA, 477 nt
Filed under: uncultured bacterium
Lineage: Bacteria
Description: bacterial SSU rRNA
Rfam family: Bacterial small subunit ribosomal RNA
Source: RNAcentral
AACAAACGCUGGCGGCGUGCCUAAUACAUGCAAGUCGAACGGGGAAAGUAGCAAUACGAGUACUAGUGGCGCACGGGUGAGGAAUACAUGGGUAAUCUGCCCUCGAGCUCGGGAUAACCAGUCGAAAGACUGGCUAAUACCGGAUAUGACCACAAGAUCUGAGGAUCAAGGGGUAAAAGGUUUUUCGCUUGAGGAUGAGCCCAUGUGGGAUUAGCUAGUUGGUGUAGGUAACGGCUCACCAAGGCGACGAUCCCUAACUGGUCUUAGAGGAUGAUCAGUCACACUGGAACUGAGACACGGUCCAGACUCCUACGGGAGACAGCAGUAGGGAAUAUUGCACAAUGGAGGAAACUCUGAUGCAGCGACGCCGCGUGAGUGAUGAAGGCCUUAGGGUUGUAAAGCUCUUUUACCCGGGAUGAUAAUGACAGUACCGGGAGAAUAAGCCCCGGCUAACUCCGUGCCAGCAGCCGCGGUAAU